This 484-nucleotide ribosomal RNA is filed under the name uncultured bacterium. RNAcentral describes it as "partial 16S ribosomal RNA". It matches the Rfam family "Bacterial small subunit ribosomal RNA", at positions 30 to 507 of the family's 1533-position model. The record is from RNAcentral.
AUUGAACGCUGGCGGCAGGCCUAACACAUGCAAGUCGAGCGGAUGAAGGGAGCUUGCUCCUGGAUUCAGCGGCGGACGGGUGAGUAAUGCCCAGGAAUCUGCCUGGUAGUGGGGGAUAACGUCCGGAAACGGGCGCUAAUACCGCAUACGUCCUGAGGGAGAAAGUGGGGGAUCUUCGGACCUCACGCUAUCAGAUGAGCCUAGGCCGGAUUAGCUAGUUGGUGGGGUAAAGGCCUACCAAGGCGAGGAUCCGUAACUGGUCUGAGAGGAUGAUCAGUCACACUGGAACUGGGACACGGUCCAGGCUCCUACGGGAGGCAGCAGUGGGGAAUAUUGGACAAUGGGCGAAAGCCUGAUCCAGCCAUGCCGCGUGUGUGAAGAAGGUCUUCGGAUUGUAAAGCACUUUAAGUUGGGGGGAAGGGCAGUAAGUUAAUACCUUGCUGUUUUGACGUUACCAACAGAAUAAGCACCGGCUAACUUCGUG